RNAcentral lists this ribosomal RNA (483 nucleotides) under uncultured bacterium. RNAcentral describes it as "bacterial SSU rRNA". It matches the Rfam family "Bacterial small subunit ribosomal RNA", at positions 30 to 507 of the family's 1533-position model. The record is from RNAcentral.
AUUGAACGCUGGCGGCAUGCUUUACACAUGCAAGUCGAACGGUAACAGGCCGCAAGGUGCUGACGAGUGGCGAACGGGUGAGUAAUGCAUCGGAACGUGCCCAGUCGUGGGGGAUAACGCAGCGAAAGCUGCGCUAAUACCGCAUACGAUCUACGGAUGAAAGCGGGGGACUCGCAAGACCUCGCGCGAUUGGAGCGGCCGAUAUCAGAUUAGGUAGUUGGUGGGGUAAAGGCUCACCAAGCCAACGAUCUGUAGCUGGUCUGAGAGGACGACCAGCCACACUGGAACUGAGACACGGUCCAGACUCCUACGGGAGGCAGCAGUGGGGAAUUUUGGACAAUGGACGCAAGUCUGAUCCAGCCAUUCCGCGUGCAGGAUGAAGGCCCUCGGGUUGUAAACUGCUUUUGUACGGAACGAAAAGGUUUCUAUUAAUACUAGGAGCUCAUGACGGUACCGUAAGAAUAAGCACCGGCUAACUACGUG